AGAGUUUGAUCCUGGCUCAGAUUGAACGCUGGCGGCGUGCUUAACACAUGCAAGUCGAUCGGUAACGCGGGGGCAACCCUGGCGACGAGAGGCGGACGGGUGAGGAACGCUUGGGAAUCUGCCCAUCAGCGGGGGACAACCCGGGGAAACCCGGGCUAAUACCGCAUACGCUCUACGGAGGAAAGCCGGGGACCGCAAGGCCUGGCACUGAUGGAUGAGCCCAAGUCGGAUUAGCUAGUUGGUAGGGUAACGGCCCACCAAGGCGACGAUCCUUAGCUGGUCUGAGAGGACGAUCAGCCACACUGGGACUGAGACACGGCCCAGACUCCUACGGGAGGCAGCAGUGGGGAAUAUUGGACAAUGGGCGCAAGCCUGAUCCAGCAAUACCGCGUGUGUGAAGAAGGCCUGAGGGUUGUAAAGCACUUUCAAUGGGGAGGAAUACCUAUCGGUUAAUACCCGGUAGAAUGACAUUACUCAUAGAAGAAGCACCGGCUAACUCCGUGCCAGCAGCCGCGGUAAUACGGAGGGUGCGAGCGUUAAUCGGAAUUACUGGGCGUAAAGCGUACGUAGGCGGUUCGUUAAGUCAGAUGUGAAAGCCCUGGGCUUAACCUGGGAACUGCAUUUGAAACUGGCGGACUAGAGUUGAGUAGAGGUAAGUGGAAUUUCAGGUGUAGCGGUGAAAUGCGUAGAUAUCUGAAGGAACACCAGUGGCGAAGGCGACUUACUGGACUCAAACUGACGCUGAGGUACGAAAGCGUGGGUAGCAAACAGGAUUAGAUACCCUGGUAGUCCACGCCGUAAACGAUGUCAACUAGCCGUUGGGUCUCUUAGAGACAUAGUGGCGCAGCUAACGCAUUAAGUUGACCGCCUGGGGAGUACGGCCGCAAGGUUAAAACUCAAAUGAAUUGACGGGGGCCCGCACAAGCAGCGGAGCAUGUGGUUUAAUUCGAUGCAACGCGAAGAACCUUACCUAGACUUGACAUCCCCUGCAUUACUCGUAACUGAGGAAGUCCUUCGGGACAGGGAGACAGGUGGUGCAUGGUUGUCGUCAGCUCGUGUCGUGAGAUGUUAGGUUAAGUCCUGCAACGAGCGCAACCCUUAUCAUUAGUUGCUACCAUUCAGUUGAGCACUCUAGUGAGACUGCCCGGGUUAACCGGGAGGAAGGUGGGGAUGACGUCAAAUCAUCAUGCCCCUUAUGUCUAGGGCUACACACGUGCUACAAUGGUGAGUACAAAGAGAUGCAAUCCCGUGAGGGGGAGCCAAACUUAUAAAACUCAUCUCAGUUCGGAUUGUAGGCUGAAACUCGCCUACAUGAAGCUGGAGUUGCUAGUAAUCGUGAAUCAGCUACGCCACGGUGAAUACGUUCCCGGGCCUUGUACACACCGCCCGUCACGCCAUGAGAGCUGUGAGUGCCCGAAGUCCGUGGUCUAACCGUAAGGGGCCAAGCCGCCGAAGGCAAGCGCAGUGACUGGGGCGAAGUCGUAACAAGGUAGCCGUAGGGGAACCUGCGGCUG
RNAcentral lists this ribosomal RNA (1514 nucleotides) under freshwater sediment metagenome. RNAcentral describes it as "bacterial SSU rRNA". It matches the Rfam family "Bacterial small subunit ribosomal RNA". The record is from RNAcentral.